Long non-coding RNA from Oreochromis niloticus (Nile tilapia), 1657 nucleotides. RefSeq lists it as uncharacterized. Lineage: Eukaryota; Metazoa; Chordata; Actinopteri; Cichliformes; Cichlidae. The record is from RefSeq and is a predicted model, not a curated record. The transcript has 3 exons.
UGUACUUUAAGUGCAGCUACAAGACACAAGAGUGUCUCAGGUGCAGCCGUAACAUAUAUGAAAAGCACCAUUUGAAAUGGGGUGGCUUAUUGAAAUCGUCACAUUCACUUGCUGGUGCUUGCCAGCUGCGCACACCUGUAAACGCUGCUGUAAUUGCCGGCUGUUGGCCACAGCUGAUGUUGAUGUAGUAAAGGAGGUGUAGUCACUCUGAGCAGGAUUUGAUAAUGUCACACUGGCUUCCACAAAGAAUUUUGUUGUUGUUUUUUGUUGUUUUUUAUUAUGUACGUUUUGAAGCAGACUUUUUUCUGUACCAGAUGUGGUGCUCCCCAGAUAAAACGGAAUAGAGGAACCACUAUUUCCUGUAGACUGGCGACCUGUCCUGGGCGUACUCCUGCCCACCUUUUGCAGCCGGGAUAAGGUCCAGCUCCUGGAUGGAUGGUUCAGACAGAGCGAGCAUCACGAGUCACGCUGCUGCCACAUUCAGUUGUGGGUUUUUACCGCUACAUCAGGUACAAGCUGUUCAAACAGGCCCCGAUACAAAGGAUAGCAGCAUGUGGCGAUGAGUGCUCUCCCUUUCUUUUCAAAAAGCGACAGGCGGAAAUAAAUGUUUCUAUGCUGUAAUCAGUUACUCGCUCCAUAGAGCAACGUUAUGCCAAAGCAGGGCACUUGAGACUGUCAAGGUAAGACAUUAUCCUUCCUGAAAUAAAUUGUAAUCAGUGAUGACACAGACUGAUGGGAGCUGUCUGCUGAAAAAUUGAUCCAUUUACCUUGACUCUUACGUUUCAGAGAUAGAUUAAAAAAAUAAAAAUAAAAAAUGUGACUGACCAUUUGGAAGCUCCAAGAUCUGAGAGACACGUUAAGCCGGGAGAUGUUUCAGGUCGCCAAAAUCUGGGCCGUGGGCUUAAAACAUCUAAGUAUCCAUGUCAAGAAAAUUCGCAGAGUGAGAAUUUAAUAAUGGCUUUAGUAUCACUUAUAUCCCAGUGGCUGACUGGGCCUUCAUGCCUGCUUUCAUUCUAACUGGAUGUAUUCUGCAUCAGCGGAUUGGCUUCAUUGAGAUUCAUCUAAUAUGGCUGUUGCAGGGUUUCAGCCCGGAUUUCAGAGGAGGUUUAACUCACAUCCUCCGUGCUAUUCUCUUCCUCGCUCCGUGGUUGACAAGAGACUCGUGUUACUUUUGUUUUCCAGCUGGGUGUAAUUCAACAUCGAUAGCACUUAUCUGUGCUCCACUGAUCUUCCCUGGCAUCGGGAAACCAAUGGGAUAACGCCUCUCAUGUGGCAACUUCUGGCAGGCGGGCCGUCGCUAGAGCUGAUCUCACGAAGUCAUGUUAAAAUUUGUAGAUACAAACCAAAAAAAAGUGAGUGAGUGAGGCAGGGAAGGAGUCACUGUUCCUGAGUAAAUCUGCACAGAAAGAAAUGUUUUUAGUUGUGUUUUGUGCCGUUUAAGUAUUCCCAAUGCAAUGUAGCAAAAAGGCUGAGUGCAUUAGUGGGCUCAAAAGACUGAGUUUUGUUAGAUAAGUUUAAAAUACCUGUCAGAUUACGUUUGCUGGGCCACAAAGGGAUGAGAGAAAACAGCAAAUUCCACACUUCUCUGUAUUUGUACUUAUUGUUGCAGUCAAAUUAAAGUUUUCUGCUGAAAAGAUGAGAUUUACAGCUGCACCAG